UUCGCAAUGCCCGAAAGGGUGACGAAGCGACGCCGCGUGCGGGAAGAAGGCCUUCGGGUUGUAAACCGCUGUCGGGAGUUAAGAAAUGUAAGGAUGUUAAUAGCGUCUUUGCUUGACUAAGGCUCCGGAGGAAGCCACGGCUAACUCUGUGCCAGCAGCCGCGGUAAUACAGAGGCGGCAAGCGUUGUUCGGAAUUAUUGGGCGUAAAGAGCACGUAGGCGGCCUUGUAAGUCAGUUGUGAAAGCCUUCUGCUUAACGGAAGAACGGCAUCUGAUACUGCAAGGCUAGAGUGCGGAAGGGGAGAGUGGAACUUCUGGUGGAGCGGUGAAAUGCGUAGAUAUCAGAAGGAACGCCGGCGGCGAAAGCGGCUCUCUGGCCCAUAACUGACGCUGAGUGUGCGAAAGCUAGGGGAGCAAACGGGAUUAGAUACCCCGGUAGUCCUAGCCGUAAACGAUGGGCACUAAGUAGAGGGGUUUU
This 477-nucleotide ribosomal RNA is filed under the name uncultured anaerobic ammonium-oxidizing bacterium. RNAcentral describes it as "bacterial SSU rRNA". It matches the Rfam family "Bacterial small subunit ribosomal RNA", at positions 365 to 832 of the family's 1533-position model. The record is from RNAcentral.